GAUAAACGCUGGCGGCGUGCCUAAUACAUGCAAGUCGAGCGAACGGACGAGAAGCUUGCUUCUCUGAUGUUAGCGGCGGACGGGUGAGUAACACGUGGAUAACCUACCUAUAAGACUGGGAUAACUUCGGGAAACCGGAGCUAAUACCGGAUAAUAUUUUGAACCGCAUGGUUCAAAAGUGAAAGACGGUCUUGCUGUCACUUAUAGAUGGAUCCGCGCUGCAUUAGCUAGUUGGUAAGGUAACGGCUUACCAAGGCAACGAUGCAUAGCCGACCUGAGAGGGUGAUCGGCCACACUGGAACUGAGACACGGUCCAGACUCCUACGGGAGGCAGCAGUAGGGAAUCUUCCGCAAUGGGCGAAAGCCUGACGGAGCAACGCCGCGUGAGUGAUGAAGGUCUUCGGAUCGUAAAACUCUGUUAUUAGGGAAGAACAUAUGUGUAAGUAACUGUGCACAUCUUGACGGUACCUAAUCAGAAAGCCACGGCUAACUACGUGCCAGCAGCCGCGGUAAUACGUAGGUGGCAAGCGUUAUCCGGAAUUAUUGGGCGUAAAGCGCGCGUAGGCGGUUUUUUAAGUCUGAUGUGAAAGCCCACGGCUCAACCCGUGGAGGGUCAUUGGAAACUGGAAAACUUGAGUGCAGAAGAGGAAAAGUGGAAUUCCAUGUGUAGCGGUGAAAUGCGCAGAGAUAUGGAGGAACACCAGUGGCGAAGGCGACUUUCUGGUCUGUAACUGACGCUGAUGUGCGAAAGCGUGGGGAUCAAACAGGAUUAGAUACCCUGGUAGUCCACGCCGUAAACGAUGAGUGCUAAGUGUUAGGGGGUUUCCGCCCCUUAGUGCUGCAGCUAACGCAUUAAGCACUCCGCCUGGGGAGUACGACCGCAAGGUUGAAACUCAAAGGAAUUGACGGGGACCCGCACAAGCGGUGGAGCAUGUGGUUUAAUUCGAAGCAACGCGAAGAACCUUACCAAAUCUUGACAUCCUUUGACAACUCUAGAGAUAGAGCCUUCCCCUUCGGGGGACAAAGUGACAGGUGGUGCAUGGUUGUCGUCAGCUCGUGUCGUGAGAUGUUGGGUUAAGUCCCGCAACGAGCGCAACCCUUAAGCUUAGUUGCCAUCAUUAAGUUGGGCACUCUAAGUUGACUGCCGGUGACAAACCGGAGGAAGGUGGGGAUGACGUCAAAUCAUCAUGCCCCUUAUGAUUUGGGCUACACACGUGCUACAAUGGACAAUACAAAGGGCAGCGAAACCGCGAGGUCAAGCAAAUCCCAUAAAGUUGUUCUCAGUUCGGAUUGUAGUCUGCAACUCGACUACAUGAAGCUGGAAUCGCUAGUAAUCGUAGAUCAGCAUGCUACGGUGAAUACGUUCCCGGGUCU
RNAcentral lists this ribosomal RNA (1374 nucleotides) under uncultured bacterium. RNAcentral's name for it is "bacterial SSU rRNA". It matches the Rfam family "Bacterial small subunit ribosomal RNA", at positions 28 to 1381 of the family's 1533-position model. The record is from RNAcentral.